RNAcentral lists this microRNA (23 nucleotides) under Ananas comosus (pineapple). RNAcentral's name for it is "microRNA s0371_c39a". The record is from RNAcentral. Lineage: Eukaryota; Viridiplantae; Streptophyta; Magnoliopsida; Poales; Bromeliaceae.
AGUUGUGUCUGUCCUUGAAGCCA